GUUAAUUAAUUGCGACUUUGAUAUCAUCGCGUACCCGAAACCGUUUGCUUUGUUUUUGUAGGUUUCAAUCAAUAUCAAACAUGUAGGUUUCAUCCCCUCCAACAGAUUUCUCAUUAUGAAAUAUUGCUCAUUAUGAAACAUGUAGGUUUUAUCCCCUCCAACAGAUUUCUCAUUAUGAAAUAUUGCUACAAAGGUUCCUCAUUUCAAUCAAUAUCAAACAUGUAGGUUUCAUCCCCUCCAACAGAUUUCUCAUUAUGAAAUAUUGCUACAAAGGUUCCUCGUAUGGUGAGGAUUACCACAAGAAAAAAAGUUCAAAAUUCCCCAGACUAAUAAUCUUACAAUGUAGUUCCAAAUUCCCCAGACUAAUAAACUUACAAUGUUUUAGGCUCCACCAACACUACCUGUCACCAGAUUGAGCCACA
Molecule: long non-coding RNA, 422 nt
Filed under: Trifolium pratense (red clover)
Lineage: Eukaryota; Viridiplantae; Streptophyta; Magnoliopsida; Fabales; Fabaceae
Description: long non-coding RNA (TPRA_LNC004059)
Source: RNAcentral